UGAGGAAUAUUGGUCAAUGGUCGCGAGACUGAACCAGCCAAGUAGCGUGCAGGACGACGGCCCUCUGGGUUGUAAACUGCUUUUAGUUGGGAAUAAAAGGCGGUACGUGUACCGCGUAUUGUAUGUACCAUCAGAAAAAGGACCGGCUAAUUCCGUGCCAGCAGCCGCGGUAAUACGGAAGGUCCAGGCGUUAUCCGGAUUCAUUGGGUUUAAAGGGAGCGUAGGCCGCCUUUUAAGCGUGUUGUGAAAUGUAGGGGCUCAACCCCUGCACUGCAGCGCGAACUGGAGGGCUUGAGUACACACAAAGUAGGCGGAAUUCAUGGUGUAGCGGUGAAAUGCUUAGAUAUCAUGAAGAACCCCGAUUGCGAAGGCAGCUUACUGGAGUGUAACUGACGCUGAAGCUCGAAAGCG
RNAcentral lists this ribosomal RNA (411 nucleotides) under uncultured Prevotella sp. RNAcentral describes it as "bacterial SSU rRNA". It matches the Rfam family "Bacterial small subunit ribosomal RNA", at positions 355 to 761 of the family's 1533-position model. The record is from RNAcentral. Lineage: Bacteria; Pseudomonadati; Bacteroidota; Bacteroidia; Bacteroidales; Prevotellaceae.